RNAcentral lists this long non-coding RNA (1105 nucleotides) under Homo sapiens (human). Its description in RNAcentral is "HSALNT0043789". The record is from RNAcentral. Lineage: Eukaryota; Metazoa; Chordata; Mammalia; Primates; Hominidae.
AGUGGAAAUACAUGUUUUUUAGGGUAUUACUAGAAAAGAAAGUAUGAUAAAGCGUGUCUGUAAUACUUUUAUUUUUACUCUGGUGGUAGUGGCGAGCUGAGAAGUUUCUACAUACAUGGAGUCCAGUAAACAUCUAUUGAACAAACACCAUCAAUAUGUACAAUUUUGGGCUAUAUAAUUUUAAAAUUGAUGGUGCCACCUAUUGGUGAUGACAUAAAGUGUAAAAUGAUCACUUACAUAGUAAGUUAUUUCAUGUUUUCCAAUCAUGUUACUUAUUCCCACAGAGAUUCUGUGAGGAGCUGGAAGGCAAGCUUGGUUCAUGCAGACAUGAGGCACUAAUGUUUUCAACUGGGUUGCUCUCCACUGGAUGCCUAUUAAAUGCUCAGCACUUUGGAGUAUACCAGAGAAGUAAAGACAUGGCCCCUGCCUUCAAGGAGCAUUUUAUCCAGUUGAUUUCCUAUCAUAAGGAUGUACAGGGUGGGACGCUACUUCAGACUGCUUUCAUGUCAAGAUCUGCCUCAUCUUCCAAAGUGGGAGUUCCCAGCAUUAGGCUUGUGGGGGUGGAAGCUUAAUCCGCCUCCUUCCAAAAACUGAAGUGAGUCACUACCAACCUUGUCUCUCCACCCUUUACUGGGUCCAUACACAGCCCUGCCUUUUUUUAAGGAGGUGGAACCCAGCCUAAGGUCUCCAUUAAUGUGGAAUUGAGAAAGGGCAUCUGUUCUGGGUCAUUCUGACUUCCAGACUAGAAUUUAUCUCAGCUCUUAAGACAGAGCUAUCUUAAGAUAAGUUCUUAAGAGCUAACUUAAGAAAUCUUAAACAGUUUUACAGAAGUGGGUAAAAUCUCUGCAAGUCUUUGAAGAAUAUUAGCAAUGAAAAUGGUUGUUAUUUUUUCAAAAAAUAAUAACAUGAACUUGGAAUGGAUAGUUAUUUUGGCCAGAAGAUUAACAUGAAUUCUCUGACACCUGGGCAGAUUCCCCAUCUGAUCUGUGCUCCUUCCCAUUUGAACAUUGGAUACCUUUGAGAAACCUUCUUGGAGCAUGUAGAAAAGCCAGUACAUGGGCAUGGACAUACACAUACCCCACCCUUACAUUCUUCUUUUUGUUUC